CCGUAGUUGAUGCAUCACUCAAAACAUCUAUUUGUAGACUUUGUUGAAUUGAAGGCGGUUUAAAUAUUGGCCUCCAUUUUACAAGUGGACCUCCUAUGCAGAAGGUGGGAGGUGUUGUGUCCCCAGGUGAUUUAAAACUGAGACCUAACUGUGUUCAUAACCAGACCAGGAAUCAAUGGCUGGAGGAGCUGGUGGAGGACGACCAGGGCUCUACCAACAAGGAUUCCUGGACGCUGAUGGAAUCCUGUUUGGUCCGGGGCAGACCAGCCUAAGCUGAGCCCACCUGAUCCUGUUUGGUCCGGGGCAGACCAGCCUGAGCUGAGCCCACCUGAUCCUGUUUGGUCCGGGGCAGAGCUGAAGCCCACCUGAUGCUCACAUCCUGCUGGUCCCGUCUCCUCAUCUCAUCUGAGCCUCGUCCUCAAGAACUGCUGAGCUCCUUCAAGUCUGCACUCUGAGGCUGAUGGAUGAAUGAACUCAUUAACCUUUUUAACACCACAUGUACCCGUGUGCUUCCACACGCCUUUCCCACACGUCUGUCACUUACUCACCUCACUAACUAACCUCACAACUUCACUUUCCUCUCUACUCCUUCCCGUUGCUCCUCCUUCUCCAGGGUUCGAACCUUUACUCUGAAGGAGUGUCUUCUUGAGCCUUUACUCUGAAGGAGUGUCUUUUUGCCCUCAAAGUGUUCAGUGUUAGGGUUCAGAGUCAGGGUUUAGAGUCAGGGACAGAGCUGGUACGGGAGGACUGGCUUUACUCAUACCUCUUCCCUUCUGAAUGAUUUAAACAUUUUGAAAAUAUUUAUAGGGAAAAUGUUUGUACAAAAUCUGUAUGAAGGUUCUGGCAAUGGUUUUUGUGAAUUAAAUCCUUUUUCACUUUUCCCGCAUAUUUGGGGUAGUUAUUUAUUCGGUCAUUUAAUUUGGCUGAUCUCAAACUAAACUCCUGUAAUAGAAUAAUUUGCAUGAUGUAUAUUCAAUGUUCACAUAAUCCUCAUAUUAAUACAUUAUCGAACUUCCAUAUUGCUAAUAAAGGUCAAGUCUUAAUUACCGCUACUACAAA
Gadus morhua (Atlantic cod) is the source of this 1059-nucleotide long non-coding RNA. RefSeq lists it as uncharacterized. The record is from RefSeq and is a predicted model, not a curated record. The transcript is spliced from 2 exons. Lineage: Eukaryota; Metazoa; Chordata; Actinopteri; Gadiformes; Gadidae.